UAACCGCAAUUUGCCACGCCCAAUUUAUACCAUCCCGCACCCAAACCCCAAUUCUCCCUCUCCGCAUCUUCAGCUCGGCUGCAAAUCUGCAUUCGACUUUCACAUCUGCUGUCUCCGCGACUCCGUCUGCAAUUCCCCUCCCAUAUCUGAUCUAUCCCUGGAUUCAAUUUUUUGAUCUUCCCUCUCGACUACUGUAUUUUCCAUCUUCAUAGAAAAAUCCCUUCUAUUCAACUUUCUCUCUCAUUUUCAUUAUCAUCAUUCUAAAGAAUUGGAUUAUUGCACGAUACCACUGUGGUGUUCGAAUGCAGUUCAUGGCCAGUUGGAGUAUUCACGAAUCAUGAAGUUGGGGAAUACUAUCUUGGUUUGGAAAAUCCAGUGCGUUUCUUUACAAAUAAUCGAAAACUAUUGAGUUUUUAUUAAAUUUUGACGGAACCUGUGCAGAUCUUUGAAAUUUGAAAGUAUGAAUGACAUUGAAGAGCAACGAAAAGUUCAAAAUCACCUUAAGAGGAAUACGGCAUGAAUAAGAAGCGGAAAUCACAUGAAUAACAUUUCAGUGAUGGUGAAUAAUGAAUGCAGAAACAGAGUUACUGCAAAUUGAAAUUCUACUUCAUUAAAAAUUUCCUGGUCAGGCAAAUGCAAGCGUGGAGUGAUCGUUAAACGUCAAAGGGGAAAAAAUAGAGGAUGGACUGAAGUUUCAAGCGGCAGUGUGGUAGCAUUUUGAGAAUCAUCGAUAGAGUACCUUCACAGAUUUGUUUACAAACAACCAGUUGAUCAUGUAAAGUUGAUUCCUGAUUAUUUUAGUUAUUGAACCAAUGAAUUUGGGAACGAUAAAGCGUAAACUAGAGGACAAUAAAUACUUUUAUGAAGAGGAAUUUGCUAGUGAUAUUAGGCUGACUUUUUCAAGUGCGAUAUGUUAUAAUCGUUCUGGGAACUAUGUGAAAGAAUUGAAUAUGAUCUUUUCAGCGGGAGAUAGAAAUUAUUCAAUACAAAAUUGAAGUACACGUGAAGAAAUCUCAAACAGUUAUGCGAUGCAGAUAGAAUAGGAAAGAAUGGCCAAGAUACAAAGGCCAUUAUAGAAAAGAAAGGCCAAAAUGCAAAUCAAUCUCGCCUAACAAAUCUUGAGGGAACAUCAGUCUUUGGAACAGCGGCCAAUGUCGUUGGAGUAAAAGAAAAUUUGAGUAAAAGAGCUUUUGAAAAUAUCGAGCAAAAAGAUAACGGAAACUAUAAGGUUCAUGUUCGAAACGUUUUUUAUGGCCAGAUUGAAAGAAGAAAAAGAUGGUUCUUAUAUUCAUGUGAUUGACAAUGAAAUCUUAUUGAAGCUGGAACGAAAGAGAGAUAAAGAUUCUUUGGAUGCAAUGAAAGAAAAGGUUCUUCUCAACAGAGGAAGCCUGCAAGAACUACACAAAGUCACAUAAUGGCAUUCAAUGUGCAUUUGCUGCUUCCAAUAGAAAACAACCAUUUGAUUUCCCUGCAGUCGAAUGUGCUGCAAGUGGUAGUCUGAUGUGCCAAUGAAGCCUUAGAUGUUCCGUUGAGCCAUCUUUCAGUGUGUCGUCAGCUUAAAUAUCCCGUGACAUCUCAUACAAGAUGAUUGAAGCUGGAUUCUAAUGGACGAGAAGAUUAAUCCUGUCAAUGGGCACAAAGAAAAUGGAAGAUUGGAAAGGCAGGAGCAUGAAGUAGAUGUUGCUCAAGACGCAGUUGGUUCACAUCAAAAUACCAAGAAAUCUUCAGCUUCAAAAUAAUGCAGAAUAUCUCAGAGAAGAAAGAAUCAUACCAUACAGCUGAAUUGUCUGUGACAUUGAAUUUAUCACCUUUCCUUUUUAUUUCAUCCGAAGAAAUCUUUAUUGCUCUUUCUGUCUAGCUUGGGAAAAGUUUCAUUGUCGAUCAUGUCAAUAUAAGAAUCGAGUUUUUCUUCUCUCAAUCUGGCCAUACAAAACUUUUCGAACACCCUUAAAGCUUUAACUAUCUUGACCUUAAAGCUUCAACUAUCUUUCUGCUUGAUAUUUUCAAAAGCUUUGUUCCUCAAAUUUUGCUUUUGCCCUUAAAAGACUGUGGCCUGUUGUGGCCAUAAAGCUUUAUUAAGGCAAGAUUGUUUUGCAUUUUGGUCUUUCUUUUUUAUAAUGGGUUUGUAUCUUGGCCAUUCUUUCCACUUCCUCUACAGUGCAUAACCGUUCGAGAUGCCUACCGUGCACUUCAAUUUUAUCUGCUGUAAUUUCCAUCUCUUGAAAUCAUCAUUCAAUUCCUUUGCAUAGUUCCUAGGAGGAUUGUUGUGUAUCGCAUUGACAAAAUGAACCUAACAUCAUUAGCAAAUUCCUCUGCAUCAAAGUAUGUAUUGUCCUUUAGUUUACGCUUUAUCGUUCCUAAGUUCAUUAGUUCAAUAGUUAUUGGAAUCAGCAGUAGAUCAAUUGGCUGAUUUAGAGAAGAUCCGUGACGGUUCCCAUCAAUGAUCUCAAAAUGCUACUACAUUGCUGCUUGAAACUUCAAUCCAUCCUAUGCUUCUUUUAUCCCCUUUGAUGCUCAAGGAUCACUCGACCUUACGCUUCUUGGAGUUACUUGACUAGGAAAAUUUGACUAAAUUAGAUUUUUUUAUUUGCACUAACUCGAUCUGUUCAUUCAUUUUUUAUUAUCAUUGUGAGGUUUUUCACGUGAUUUCUCUUGUGAUUUAUGCUAUAUUCCUUUUGAGGUGAUUUUGUACUUUAUGAUCCUCUUGUGUUACCAACAGUUGCCACAAAUUUAAAUUCGUGAUUUAAGGAGAAUUGUAAGUUCUACAAUUAACAUUUUUGAUGUAUGUACAUCCAUUUUGUAUUACUGGAUUAAUUCCUCCAUUAAAUGAUCCAAUGUAACUUCACGUUCACGUUCCCUUUUCA
Long non-coding RNA from Olea europaea var. sylvestris, 2864 nucleotides. RefSeq lists it as uncharacterized. Lineage: Eukaryota; Viridiplantae; Streptophyta; Magnoliopsida; Lamiales; Oleaceae. The transcript has 7 exons. The record is from RefSeq and is a predicted model, not a curated record.